RNAcentral lists this non-coding RNA (79 nucleotides) under uncultured Dialister sp. RNAcentral's name for it is "Glycine riboswitch". It matches the Rfam family "Glycine riboswitch aptamer", at positions 8 to 87 of the family's 94-position model. From Rfam's summary of the family: This family represents the bacterial glycine riboswitch. Glycine riboswitches usually consist of two metabolite-binding aptamers domains with similar structures in tandem. The aptamers cooperatively bind glycine to regulate the expression of downstream genes. Lineage: Bacteria; Bacillati; Bacillota; Negativicutes; Veillonellales; Veillonellaceae. The record is from RNAcentral.
CUAUCCUCUGGAGAGUCCUUUUUAAGGCACCGACGAGGCAAGCUGUGAGGUUUAUCUUUCAGGUACAAGGACAGAGGCG